GCUGCGAUGGUUCAAUGGUAGAAUGCUUGCCUUCCAAGCAAGCGACCCGGGUUCGAUUCCCGGUCGCAGCA
This 71-nucleotide transfer RNA is filed under the name Yasminevirus sp. GU-2018. It matches the Rfam family "tRNA". Rfam says of the family: Transfer RNA (tRNA) molecules are approximately 80 nucleotides in length. Lineage: Varidnaviria; Bamfordvirae; Nucleocytoviricota; Megaviricetes; Imitervirales; Mimiviridae. The record is from Rfam by way of RNAcentral.